RNAcentral lists this ribosomal RNA (238 nucleotides) under uncultured bacterium. RNAcentral describes it as "partial 16S ribosomal RNA". It matches the Rfam family "Bacterial small subunit ribosomal RNA", at positions 100 to 334 of the family's 1533-position model. The record is from RNAcentral.
CGGAACGGGUGAGUAACGCGUGAGGAACCUGCCUCAAAGAGGGGGACAACAGUUGGAAACGACUGCUAAUACCGCAUAAGCCCACGGCUCGGCAUCGAGCAGAGGGAAAAGGAGCAAUCCGCUUUGAGAUGGCCUCGCGUCCGAUUAGCUAGCUGGUGAGGUAACGGCCCACCAAGGCGACGAUCGGUAGCCGGACUGGGAGGUUGAACGGCCACAUUGGGACUGAGACACGGCCCAG